GGGGGGGGGGGGGGGGGGGGGGGGGGGGGGCGGGUGGGGGGGGGAGGGGGGGAGCUGGCGCGUGUUGGAUGGGGUGCGAAGGGGUGGGUAACGCGGAGGGAACCUGGCUGGUAGGGGGGGAUGUCGGUUGGAACCGAUAGCUAAUACCGCAUAAACUGGAGUAUCGCGUGAUAGUCCAUUGAAAGGUGCAAAUGCAUCACUACCAGAUGGACCUGCGUUGUAUUCGCUAGUUGGUGGGGUAACGGCUGACCAAGGCGACGAUACAUAGCCGACCUGAGAGGGUGAUCGGCCACACUGGGACUGAGACACGGCCCAGAAUCCUACGGGAGGCAGCAGUAGGGAAUCUUCGGCAAUGGACGGAAGUCUGACCGAGCAACGCCGCGUGAGUGAAGAAGGUUUUCGGAUCGUAAAGCUCUGUUGUAAGAGAAGAACGAGUGUGAGAGUGGAAAGUUCACACUGUGACGGUAUCUUACCAGAAAGGGACGGCUAACUACGUG
Molecule: ribosomal RNA, 497 nt
Filed under: uncultured bacterium
Lineage: Bacteria
Description: partial 16S ribosomal RNA
Rfam family: Bacterial small subunit ribosomal RNA (bases 54-497)
Source: RNAcentral